GGGGGAAGGAGAUAAACGUGACACACCCUUACCUUCCUGGGAAAAGCACACCUUAGGGUAUACAGGUGGACUUAAAUGUUGCCCUAAAUGUGGGAUAUGGAUGUUAAUUCCUGGUGGGUUUACCUGUGAAGAAAGUGGAGGGGAAGGGGAUACUUUUUAGUUGGACCUGCGGACGGAACUUUUGACGACAAAGACGACAAACUGCAGUAAUCAACUGCUUUCAGCUUGGCGGCCAUUUUGACCUUUCACCUUUCUUCUUACAAACACAGCGUGGAAGAGCCAAGAUCACUUGAGGAUGCGGCUGAUUGUCGCCCCCCCCCCCCCCCCCCACCCAGACAUCCCGCCUUGCAACCUUCCUCACAAAACUGUGCUGUGAGGACAACUUCACUGAACCACGAUGAGCGACCUGACCCCUCUGAAGAAAAAAGCCAGAGGAAGCGCUGCGCUCCCCGAGGCUCGUCCGAAGCAGCCUUAGAUCUCGCUCAUGGCAACAGAAUCAUCCAAACUCUGUGCGGUAAUUGGCGGCUAGUGAUGUGGAGCCUGUAAUUACUGCAGAGUCAAGGUGGCCUUUAUUCCCCAGCAUCAUUUUCCAGCACGUCACAGAGGAUUAGCAUUCCGUCGUCGCCGACUGUUUACCAGGAAGGUGAAUACCUUUUAACAACAAGAGGCAGCGUAUUGUUAUGUAAAGAAAAUGGAGGAUUAUACUUGCCAACAUAAACAUUCUCACCAGCGAGGAUUUAGCAGCGCAGGCUUAUGUGCUCACUGAACGUGCACGUGAAA
This is a long non-coding RNA of Entelurus aequoreus (snake pipefish), 780 nucleotides long. RefSeq lists it as uncharacterized. The record is from RefSeq and is a predicted model, not a curated record. NCBI's taxonomy places the organism in Eukaryota, Metazoa, Chordata, Actinopteri, Syngnathiformes, Syngnathidae. The transcript has 4 exons.